GAACCAAGUGAACAGGCGAAGGUAUAUGUACAAAUCAGAAGAGAUAGUUUUUUUUCUUUCCCAGAAUUCUGUCGGCAUUGUUAUAAGAGCGACUAGACGCUCGCAGAAGCUUGCAGGUUUUUGUAACUGUGAAGUAUGGCGAAGGUUUCAAGCUUGAGCAUGUUGAUCAUUCUGGUAUUUUCUCUAUCCACGUUCAAACAAGGAGGUAUGGUGCUCGCUGAUGCAAUGCCGUCGCAUAGCUAUAGUAAGUGUGGGCGUCAUCCGCGAUGUACGACCCGUCCGACUACGAGGCGGCCUACGCGUAUUUUAACAAGACCUACGACACCACGUCCAUGUGGCUAGCGAGCCGAAGGACACCCUUUGAACCCUGCUCGAGUAAUGGAGAAAAACUGGGCAAAUAGCAGCAGCAAGGACUACCUAUGGAAACCUAAAUGAGCAACAACUUCGAACAUUUUUCAACAAUUUCGCCCUUCACCAUCACACAAAAGAAUGAAUCUUGUGAAUAAGAAACGUGGCCAUAUAA
This is a long non-coding RNA of Dermacentor andersoni, 523 nucleotides long. RefSeq lists it as uncharacterized. Lineage: Eukaryota; Metazoa; Arthropoda; Arachnida; Ixodida; Ixodidae. The record is from RefSeq and is a predicted model, not a curated record.